Molecule: non-coding RNA, 21 nt
Organism: Caenorhabditis elegans
Lineage: Eukaryota; Metazoa; Nematoda; Chromadorea; Rhabditida; Rhabditidae
Source: Ensembl
UGAAUAUUGUACGUUAUUUUA